UGGCGGACGGGUGAGUAAUGUCUGGGAAACUGCCUGAUGGAGGGGGAUAACUACCGGAAACGGUAGCUAAUACCGCAUAACGUCGCAAGACCAAAGAGGGGGACCUUCGGGCCUCUUGCCAUCGGAUGUGCCCAGAUGGGAUUAGCUAGUAGGUGGGGUAACGGCUCACCUAGGCGACGAUCCCUAGCUGGUCUGAGAGGAUGACCAGCCACACUGGAACUGAGACACGGUCCAG
Molecule: ribosomal RNA, 235 nt
Filed under: uncultured bacterium
Lineage: Bacteria
Description: partial 16S ribosomal RNA
Rfam family: Bacterial small subunit ribosomal RNA
Source: RNAcentral